AUUUAUUGGGUUUAAAGGGUGCGUAGGCGGCCCGUUAAGUCUGAUGUGAAAGCCCUGGGCUCAACCUGGGAAUUGCAUUGGAUACUGGCGGGCUAGAGUGCGGUAGAGGAUGGCGGAAUUCCCGGUGUAGCAGUGAAAUGCGUAGAGAUCGGGAGGAACAUCCGUGGCGAAGGCGGCCAUCUGGACCAGCACUGACACUGAGGCACGAAAGCGUGGGGAGCAAACAG
Molecule: ribosomal RNA, 227 nt
Filed under: uncultured bacterium
Lineage: Bacteria
Description: partial 16S ribosomal RNA
Rfam family: Bacterial small subunit ribosomal RNA
Source: RNAcentral